RNAcentral lists this ribosomal RNA (460 nucleotides) under uncultured bacterium. RNAcentral describes it as "partial 16S ribosomal RNA". It matches the Rfam family "Bacterial small subunit ribosomal RNA", at positions 338 to 795 of the family's 1533-position model. The record is from RNAcentral.
CCUACGGGAGUCAGCAGUGAGGAAUAUUGGUCAAUGGACGAGAGUCUGAACCAGCCAAGUAGCGUGAAGGAUGACUGCCCUAUGGGUUGUAAACUUCUUUUAUAUGGGAAUAAAAUGUUCCACGUGUGGGAUUUUGUAUGUACCAUAUGAAUAAGGAUCGGCUAACUCCGUGCCAGCAGCCGCGGUAAUACGGAGGAUCCGAGCGUUAUCCGGAUUUAUUGGGUUUAAAGGGAGCGUAGGUGGAUUGUUAAGUCAGUUGUGAAAGUUUGCGGCUCAACCGUAAAAUUGCAGUUGAAACUGGCAGUCUUGAGUACAGUAGAGGUGGGCGGAAGUCGUGGUGUAGCGGUGAAAGGCUUAGAUAUCACGAAGAACUCCGAUUGCGAAGGCAGCUCACUGGACUGCAACUGACACUGAGGCUCGAAAGUGUGGGUAUCAAACAGGAUUAGAUACCCGAGUAGUC